GCUCAAAGCAAUGCGCGGUAGUUACGUUCUGAGAGAGGUACAUCGCUCGCUCCAAAACCAACACAUCAACAAGAGACUCCAAAGCACAACAAAAACCGCAACUCCGUCAAAGAAAACACUGACGAAAAAGCACGAUGUCAAGAACAAGAAGUCACCUACCUCGGACUCGGACAUUGUGGAAUGGAAUACGGCCAUCACCACCCACAUGCGCAGCGGCCAGUGCGAGUCCGCUCUCCGCAUCUUCAACGCCAUGCCACGCCGGAGCUCGGUCUCCUACAACACCAUGAUGUCUGGGUACUUGUCGAAUGGCAAGUUUGAUCUUGCGAGAGAUCUGUUUGAGAAAAUGCCUGAGAGAGACUUGGUUUCUUGGAAUGUGAUGCUUAGUGGGUAUGUGAGGAAUCGGAAUCUUAGUGCAGCUCGUGCUUUGUUUAAUCAGAUGCCCGAAAGGGAUGUUGUUUCGUGGAACGCUAUGUUGUCUGGGUAUGCCCAGAAUGGGUAUGUCGAUGAGGCGAGGAAAUUUUUUUAUAUGAUGCCGGAUAAGAAUGAGAUAUCAUGGAAUGGGUUGCUUGCGUCGUAUGUGCAGAAUGGGAGGAUAAGCGAGGCUGGUAUGUUGUUUGCGUCGAAAACGGAUUGGGAAGUGGUUUCUUGGAAUUGUUUGAUGGGUGGGUAUGUAAAGAGGAAGAGAUUGAUUGAUGCUAGACGGCUUUUUGAUCGGAUGCCUAACAGAGAUGAGAUUUCUUGGAAUACUAUGAUUACUGGUUAUGCCCAGAAUAGGGAGUUGUCUGAAGCUAGGAGAUUGUUUGAGGAGUCUCCAAUUAGGGAUGUGUUUACGUGGACGGCAAUGGUGUCUGGGUAUGUGCAGAAUGGGAUGUUGGAUGAAGCAAGAAGAUUUUUUGAUGAGAUGCCAGAGAAAAAUGAGGUUUCGUGGAAUGCAAUGAUUGCGGGAUAUGUGCAGUGCAAGAGAAUGGACAUGGCAAGAGAAUUGUUCGAGGCGAUGCCUUGUUGGAACAUAAGUUCUUGGAAUACAAUGAUUACUGGCUAUGCUCAGAGUGGGAAUAUUCCUCAAGCUAGAAAUUUGUUUGAUAGGAUGCCUCGGCGUGACUGUAUUUCUUGGGCAGCAAUUAUUGCUGGUUAUGCUCAAAGUGGUCAUGGCGAGGAGGCUUUGCAUCUAUUUGUAAAGAUGAAAAGGGAUGGGGAAAAAAUAAAUAGGUCUGCAUUUACCUGUUCUUUGAGUGCAUGUGCUGAUAUUGCUGCUCUGGAAUUGGGGAAGCAGUUGCAUGGGCGGCUAGUUAAGGCAGGAUAUGAAACUGGUUGUUAUGUGGGGAAUGCUCUUCUGGCAAUGUAUUGUAAAUGUGGAAGCAUAGAUGAAGCAUAUGAUGUGUUUGAUGAUAUAGCAGAAAAGGAUGUUGUGUCAUGGAACACAAUGAUUGCAGGAUAUGCGAGGCAUGGAUUUUGCAAGGAGGCUAUGAUGGUUUUUGAGUCAAUGAAGGCAGCGGGUAUCAAACCAGACGAUGUCACUAUGGUUGGUGUACUGUCUGCUUGUAGUCAUACUGGCUUGGUAGAGAAGGGCAGAGAGUAUUUUUAUUCAAUGGAUCACGAUUAUGGUAUAACAGCCAACUCAAAACACUAUACUUGUAUGAUUGAUCUUCUUGGUCGAGCAGGGCGACUGGAUGAAGCCCAGAAUUUAAUGAGAAGUAUGCCUUUCGAACCAGAUGCUGCUACAUGGGGUGCUCUACUUGGUGCAAGCAGGAUUCAUGGCCAUACUGAAUUAGGUGAAAAGGCUGCUGAGAUGAUUUUUGAGAUGGAACCUGAUAAUGCAGGAAUGUAUGUUCUUCUCUCAAAUUUGUAUGCAUCUUCGGGUAGAUGGGGCGAUGUUAGCAAGAUGAGAAUGAAAAUGAGAGAUAGCUGUGUUAGGAAAGUACCCGGGUAUAGUUGGCUUGAAGCACAGAAUAAGAUUCAUACAUUUUCAGUUGGAGACCACUUCCACCCAGACAAGGAUAGAAUAUAUGCCUUUUUAGAGGAGUUGAAUUUGAAAAUGAAGCUGGACGGGUAUGUUUCUUCUACAAAAAUGGUUCUACAUGAUGUGGAAGAGGAGGAGAAGGAACAUAUGCUGAAGUAUCACAGUGAGAAAUUAGCCGUGGCAUUUGGAAUUCUUUCUAUACCAGCUGGGAGACCAAUCCGUGUGAUAAAAAACUUGCGGGUAUGUGAAGACUGUCACAAUGCCAUCAAACACAUAUCCAAGAUUGAGGGAAGGUUGAUAAUCUUAAGGGAUUCUCAUCGCUUUCACCACUUCAGUGGUGGUUCAUGCUCAUGUGGAGAUUACUGGUGAGAUUACAAGUGAUUUUUAUGAAGUGGAAAAGCUCCAUUGGAACAUUGGUUACAUUGCAACUCUAUGCCCUGGACUUAGUAAACCUUGCAGAUUGACAACUAUUACGUUCAAUUUGGGAAGAUCAGAGGUGGAUUGGAUUUGAAAAUGAAGCUGGACGGGGUUUUACCAAGAACGAUCGAGCGGUGCAAUGUUGCACAGAACUAUCGAUCAUGGCAGCGAACCUUCACCCGAUCUCCCACAUUACCCCUAUCAGCAAGGCCAGAGCUCAAUUCCUCUACGCGUUAUGGUCGCAAGUGCCCAUUGACUUCUCCUCCCAUGCCGUCAGCGUGAUGUAGGCCAUCCACCGGCAAAAGAGCCCAAAGUCAUUACCUUUUGGGGGAUUGAUCACUCGUAUCGCCCGAGCAGCAGGUGUCACAAUUUCAUCGACAGAGAAUAUCAUGCAACCCGUAGCCACAUUCAACCGUGCCACCGUCAGAAGGAGUGUUGCCCACUGAAAAACUAAGGAUCAGGUUCCAAUCCCAAAUCAAGCACACAAUAUUAAUAAUUUACGUGUAUUAAGAAAUGUGUUAAGAAAAGAUGUUGAAUAUUGCACGGUUAUGAAAACAAAGGAUUACUAAUAUUAUGAAUGCUAUGCACUAAUGAUGAAAUGAGAAUAAGAGAUUAAUGUAUUAGGACAAGUCCUAAGCAUAACUUCUAAGGGAC
This is an RNA transcript of Alnus glutinosa, 3031 nucleotides long. It is a transcript of the gene named pentatricopeptide repeat-containing protein At4g02750, with no coding region annotated. Lineage: Eukaryota; Viridiplantae; Streptophyta; Magnoliopsida; Fagales; Betulaceae. The transcript is spliced from 3 exons. The record is from RefSeq and is a predicted model, not a curated record.